GUGCUCGCUUUGGCAGCACAUAUACUAAAAUUGGAAUGAUACAGAGAAGAUUAGCAUGGCCCCUGUGCAAGGAUGACUCGAAAGAAAACAAAGAAAUCUGAUUGGCU
Small nuclear RNA from Ochotona curzoniae (black-lipped pika), 107 nucleotides. The record is from RefSeq and is a predicted model, not a curated record. Lineage: Eukaryota; Metazoa; Chordata; Mammalia; Lagomorpha; Ochotonidae.